RNAcentral lists this ribosomal RNA (496 nucleotides) under Eupolymnia rullieri. RNAcentral describes it as "partial large subunit ribosomal RNA". It matches the Rfam family "Bacterial large subunit ribosomal RNA", at positions 1932 to 2622 of the family's 2925-position model. Lineage: Eukaryota; Metazoa; Annelida; Polychaeta; Terebellida; Terebellidae. The record is from RNAcentral.
UGCGGUAUCCUGACCGUGCUAAGGUAGCGUAAUAAUUUGCCCAUUAAUUGUGGGCUUGUAUGAAGGACAAACGAGGGAGGCCCUGUCUCUUACUUAAAAUUAAAAAUUGAUCUUCAGGUGAAGAAACCUGAAUUAUUCUAUAGGACAAGAAGACCCCGUAGAGCUCAGCCUUAACUUAUUUAUAAUAAAAAUUAAUUUAACUUUCAUUUAUAAAUAACUAAGUCUUAGCUGGGGCGGCUAAGGAAAAUCCAAUCUUCCAACUAUCAUUACACCAUCUCAUAGGUUUAUUCACCAUCCCAUCAACUUAUGACCCUUAAAGAUUACAAAACAUAGCUACCUCGGGGAUAACAGAUUAAUCCUUCUUAAGAGCUCGCAUUGACAGAAGGGUUUGACACCUCGAUGUUGGCUUAGAGUACCCAAUAGAUCCGCAGCAGUCUAUAUAUGGUAGGUUUGUUCAACCUUUAAAACUCUACAUGAUCUGAGUUCAAACCGGAGA